This 337-nucleotide unclassified non-coding RNA is filed under the name soil metagenome. Its description in RNAcentral is "partial contains 5.8S ribosomal RNA, internal transcribed spacer 2, and large subunit ribosomal RNA". The stretch from base 1 to 120 matches the Rfam family "5.8S ribosomal RNA", at positions 35 to 154 of the family's 154-position model. The record is from RNAcentral.
GAUGAAGAACGCAGCGAAAUGCGAUAAGUAGUGUGAAUUGCAGAAUUCAGUGAAUCAUCGAAUCUUUGAACGCACAUUGCGCCCCUUGGUAUUCCAUGGGGCAUGCCUGUUCGAGCGUCAUUUGUACCUUCAAGCUCUGCUUGGUGUUGGGUGUUUGUCUCGCCUCUGCGUGUAGACUAGCCUCAAAACAAUUGGCAGCCGGCGUAUUGAUUUCGGAGCGCAGUACAUCUCGCGCUUUGCACUCAUAACGACGACGUCCAAAAGUACAUUUUUACACUCUUGACCUCGGAUCAGGUAGGGAUACCCGCUGAACUUAAGCAUAUCAAUAAGCGGAGGA